Molecule: ribosomal RNA, 451 nt
Filed under: uncultured Aurantimonadaceae bacterium
Lineage: Bacteria; Pseudomonadati; Pseudomonadota; Alphaproteobacteria; Hyphomicrobiales; Aurantimonadaceae
Description: bacterial SSU rRNA
Rfam family: Bacterial small subunit ribosomal RNA
Source: RNAcentral
AGAGUUUGAUCCUGGCUCAGAACGAACGCUGGCGGCAGGCCUAACACAUGCAAGUCGAACGCCCCGCAAGGGGAGUGGCAGACGGGUGAGUAACGCGUGGGAAUCUACCCUGAUCUGCGGGAUAGCUCCGGGAAACUGGAAUUAAUACCGCAUAUGUCCUGAGGGACAAAGGUUUACCGGUUCAGGAUGAGCCCGCGUCCGAUUAGCUAGUUGGUGGGGUAAAGGCCUACCAAGGCGACGAUCGGUAGCUGGUCUAAGAGGAUGAUCAGCCACAUUGGGACUGAGACACGGCCCAAACUACUACGGGAGGCAGCAGUGGGGAAUAUUGGACAAUGGGCGCAAGCCUGAUCCAGCCAUGCCGCGUGAGUGAUGAAGGUCUUAGGAUUGUAAAGCUCUUUCACCGGGGACGAUAAUGACGGUACCCGGAGAAGAAGCCCCGGCUAACUUCGUG